AACGAACGCUGGCGGCGCGUCUUAAGCAUGCAAGUCGAACGGCAAGAUACCUUCGGGUAUCCUAGAGUGGCGGACUGGUGAGUAACGCGUGGAUGACGUACCCUCGUGACGGGGAUAGCCGGUAGAAAUACCGGGUAAUACCGGAUAAGGUCUUACGGAAUAAAGGCGUGAGAGGAAAGCAGCGUAUGCUGCGCAGGAGGAACGGUCUGCGGCCUAUCAGCUGGUUGGCAGGGUAAAGGCCUACCAAGGCGACGACGGGUAUCCGGCCUGAGAGGGUGGACGGACACAUUGGGACUGAGAUACGGCCCAGACUCCUACGGGAGGCAGCAGCUAAGAAUAUUCCGCAAUGGGGGGAACCCUGACGGAGCGACGCCGCGUGGACGAUGAAGGUCGGAAGAUUGUAAAGUCCUUUUAUACAUGAAGAAGAAGUUAUACAGGAAAUGGUAUGAUGGUGACGGUAGUGUAUGAAUAAGCACCGGCUAAUUACGUGC
RNAcentral lists this ribosomal RNA (491 nucleotides) under Treponema sp. oral taxon 257. Its description in RNAcentral is "bacterial SSU rRNA". It matches the Rfam family "Bacterial small subunit ribosomal RNA", at positions 29 to 508 of the family's 1533-position model. The record is from RNAcentral. Lineage: Bacteria; Pseudomonadati; Spirochaetota; Spirochaetia; Treponematales; Treponemataceae.